RNA transcript from Zea mays, 3818 nucleotides. RefSeq lists it as uncharacterized. Lineage: Eukaryota; Viridiplantae; Streptophyta; Magnoliopsida; Poales; Poaceae. The record is from RefSeq and is a predicted model, not a curated record. The transcript has 4 exons.
UUGUUCAGGAAAGAACCAAGAAGACACCGAAACCGAAGACUCGGCCCAUUUGCUGCGCGAGCAGCAGGAGUCCAACGCCGCCGCCGCCGUCUCUGCAGAGCCGCCUUCCCUUGCUCCGCAGUCCGAGAUCACUGAAGAAGAGGUCCAUGGGCCACCGGAAGCCGGAGACCGGGACCCCUCCGCCGCCACAGCCGCGGCGGCCGAACGGAAGGGCGACGAGACCAUGUCUCUUUUCCGACGGGGCUCCGAAGGUGGCAAGCCCCCUCUUCCUCCACGCCCUCCCUCCAUCUCGAGAACCAGAGGUCCGAGCUCCGCAGGCGGCAAGCCCCCUCUUCCUCCACGCCCUCCCUCCGCCUCGAGAACCAGAGUUCCGAGCUCCUCGGGCGGCAAGCCCCCCAGCCCGCCCUCUCCGCCCCGCAGCAUAUUCCACGAGGUGUGGGGGAGCAGCAUGGCGAUGAGAGAUGGUGACAGAGAGAGUCGCUUCGAUUUGAAGGACGUGUUCGAUGAACUGAUGGUGGAGUGCCGGCGGAACGGGGAAACGGACCAGAAAGCCGAGGCUGAGGUAAUAUCAGCAUCUAAGAGAGAUUUUGAGUCUAUAUCAGGCUGAGGUAAUACCGAGGGAACGGAAUGCGCAGGUGUUAUUUCCUAGAUAUUUUGACUACGUUCUUGAGCGAUUCCUGUUUUCUUGUGAUUUUGCAUUUGGGAGAUCGAAUCCUGCCGUUCAUGGGGAUCUUGUGGGGAGGAUUUUAGGAUACUGGAGUCCGGGGCUAAGAAAUUGUAUGGCAUCCUGGAGCAGGGGUGGAAUCCUUAGGCAGACGUUGGGGCCAGUUUCUCUUUCUUUGUUGCUUAGAGUGGCAACGAUCUUGCAGAGACUUUUUUAGGUGCAUGUUCUUGCGCUGUUGUAAUCGGUAUUUCUGUUCAGUUUGUUGUCAUGCUUUCAUUUCACCGUCAAAUAUGUAAGGGCCCAUCCCUAUGUUUAUUUGAGAUAGCAUAAACCAAUGUAGUUUCUUUAGAUCAUAGGCUGAAUACAUGCAUUGCUGGUUUUAGCCUUUGCCUGGCUGAUUUCUGGACUAAAGCAUAAUCAUAUUUUGAGUAGCUGACAAGGCUCGAUAAGUGCCAAUUUUGUUAUCACUGCUCCUUUAUUUGAAUAUUUGAUGUUAGUUUUGGAACAGGUGAAAGACAAGAAACCGCUCUGGAGAAAGGUACAAUAUGACCUGAAUAUUUCUUCAUCUUUGGUUGUGAUUGGUAACUGGUGUGAGCACUCUUGUGCCAAUUUUUUGUGUUUCAGAUGUUGGAUCAGGAUUGUUCAGUCUUUGUUCUAUCCAUGCUUAUAUGAAAUAUUGGGACGAUAAAAUAUAUUCUGGCAGGAGAUCAUGUUCAAAAUGGGUGUAGCAUAGAGAUGAAAGCAAUGGCAGAUGUUUAUAGUUUCUGUUCUGCCAAGAUUAUAUGAUUUUUUAUUACUAUUGUGAUCAGAAAUGGAAUUUCAAGUGCAAAAAACAACAUUUUUGUGAUGUUUUUAUAAUUUUGAAAAGUGCGAAGUGUUAUUGCUUACACUGAUAUUAUUAACGGUCAGUAUUUAUGUCUUAUUCUUCAUUGUACCACAAAUUGUCCUUGUUGCCGUGUUUCUAAGGAAUUCUGAAGCCAAACAUACAGGAUUCUGAUGUUGAUGAAUAGUCUAAUAGCUGAAGUUAGUAUAUGAUUAGUAAAAGAGGCAAUUGUCAGAUACAUAAGAUCUUGGAUAUUACUGUAGUAAUAUCUUUAAAAAGUUCCAUUGCCUUCUCCAUUGUUUCCUUCUGUGAACUGUUGGGUCUUGGCAUUAAUUAUUUACUGUUGCUUCUAAUCUAAUCCUGCCAAAAAAUGUGAAAUUUUUAACCCAUUUUAUGUGAAAUAGUUUUUUGACAGGAUAGGAAACUCCAACCGAAAUUACACGACACCUGAUGUGAACUACCAGAAAGUUCACAUAACCGAGCUCAUUAGGCAUUACGAUCUCUUUGCAAUGGUUGCUGUACAAGGAGUGGAAUUGCAUUUACAUGCUCUGAACCUUUGUCGUGAAUAUUCUGAAUUUAGGCCUGUGCAUGGAGAUGGAGAGUGUUUCUACAGGAGCUUCAUAUUUUCAUACCUCGUAAAUGUCCUCCCUUUUCCUUUGAAUAAUAUUUAUGUUUUGUGGUUAACACCCCAGUUUGCGCCACUCUAAAACAGGAGCAAGUUCUUGAUAGGCAGGAUACACAUGAGGAGCACCGUCUUCUUGCUGCUGUUAAAGGAGUGGCUAGGCAACAUGCACGCCUUGGGUGGGCGUGGGCCUCCGAAUUUUCCAGGAGCCACAAAGAUAUGCACCAUUGUUUCAAUGUAGUGGAAUAGGGGCAUGCCAUCACAAUUUUACAACCUGUUCAUGGGUUCAAAUUUGAAUUUAUUGGAAAUGUAACAAUCUAAUGCUAAUAAAUAUACAUGUUGACAUAAGUUCAUUUUUACAGAACAGCAUCAUGAGACAUCGUUGUAGAGAGAUAAAAGAGAUCAUGUUUCUUCCUUACACCAAGACAAUGCACACCCAUGCUGCUUUGUGUGGCCAUCUGAUCAAAUACUAAUCCUACAUGCUUAUUAAAUAUUUUCUUUCUCAACUACUAUCUUAUAGUUGUUUACUGGUAGAAGUGGCGCAGACAAAUCUUACGUUGGUCAUAUCUUUUUGCACCUUGUUAUAAACAGUCAGUACUGUGUAAAGCCUUAUUGCAAGAAAAUAUCUGAUUCGUUUAGGCAUUUAAGAAGCUAAUAAAUAAAGUAAUGAGAUGGAAGACACAAAGACGAGGGAAGCAUGUACCGACAAUUAACAGCUACCGCAUGGAGAAACUUCUUGAGUUCUUCAGAGAUAACAAGAGGAUAGACGACAGUGAGUAGCCCUUCCUCCACUUGUAAUCCUAAUUUCUAGUUCAUUGUUCAAACACAUUUUGUUGGCCAGUUUUUACUUUCCUCAGAUUGGUAGCAGCUAUCUGGAUAUGCUCGCACAGGCAAGAGUUUGAACCACUUAUACCUGAGCUCAGCCAAGGUUACACUCUCACCGAGGUAAGUAGCACCGCUAGUUUACCUUGGAUUCUUGGAUUACUUGGUUCUAUCCUCGUAUCUCUCUUUAUUUAAAACAGUGGUGCUUUCGAGAAGUUAUCCAGCGUAAGGUCUUUACAGAUCAUAUUCAGAUAACAGCACUAGUCAGGGCGCUUCGGGUGCCUCUGCGAGUGGAGUACCUCUUUCAAGUAGAUGGUCAAGACCUCUAUACUGGCGGCCAAGAUUCCCAAGAUGAUAUGCCAAGAAGCACGUGUUGGCCACGUCGUUAUCACCAGGUACCCCCUGAUCAUGAAGUUCCCCGAGUGACCGUGCUGUACACGCAGGAGCACUACGACAUCAUAUACCCAUAGCAUCCUGGUAGUCCUGUGACAAUACAGAGAGCCCGGCCUCUAAGACUAGGAGUCCAAGUCAAUACCAGAUAAGUAGCUGCAGUGGUGAGACAUCAAGUCAACAGACUGACCGGGUAGAGGGCGGAGGCGGGAGGUUAAGUUCGUCCCUGACCAGUGACCAUGACUAUGAUGAACAUGUGUUGAGAGAAGCUACGGGAUUGAGAAUUACGCAUACACUGACGAGAUAGAUAGGCAUAUAUUUGUGGAUUCUUUAUCCUGUUGGUACAAACUGCUGGUGCCAAUAGGAUUGUGGAUGAUCAGUAGUUGCUCCUCCCUUGUAUCUGACAAGGCUGAAAACUUUGUUCUGUAGCUCAGUUUAGGUCUCGACUUGGUACAUUUAUUUUAUUUUUUCUGUGAAUUGUGAUCACAUUUCCUUAA